Small nuclear RNA from Rattus norvegicus (Norway rat), 93 nucleotides. Lineage: Eukaryota; Metazoa; Chordata; Mammalia; Rodentia; Muridae. The record is from Ensembl.
GUGUUUGUAAAAGGAGAGGUUAGCAUGGACCUUGACAAGGAUGGAAAGCCUCAAGCCUGGUAACAAGCACUGGCCAAGGCAACAACUGUUUUU